GAUGAACGCUGGCGGCGUGCCUAACACAUGCAAGUCGAGCGAACGGACCAGAAGCUUGCUCCUCUGAUGUUAGCGGCGGACGGGUGAGUAACACGUGGAUAACCUACCUAUAAGACUGGGAUAACUUCGGGAAACCGGAGCUACUACCGGAUGAUAUUUUGAACCGCAUGGUUCAAGAGUGUAAGACGGUCUUUCUGUCACUUAUAGAUGGACCCGCGCUGCAUUAGCUAGUUGGUAAGGUAACGGCUUACCAAGGCAUCGAUGGAUAGCGGACCUGAGAGGGUGGUCGGCCACACUGGAACUGAGACACGGUCCAGACUCCUGCAGGAGGCAGCAGUAGGGAAUCUUCCGCGAUGGGCGAGAGCCUGACGGAGCAACACCGCGUGAGUGAUGAAGGUCUUCGGAUCGGAGAACUCUGUUAUUAGGGAAGAACAUAUGUGUAUGUAACUGUGCACAUCUUGACGGUACCUGAACAGAAAGCCCCGGCUAACUUCGUG
RNAcentral lists this ribosomal RNA (497 nucleotides) under uncultured bacterium. Its description in RNAcentral is "partial 16S ribosomal RNA". It matches the Rfam family "Bacterial small subunit ribosomal RNA", at positions 28 to 507 of the family's 1533-position model. The record is from RNAcentral.